RNAcentral lists this ribosomal RNA (548 nucleotides) under uncultured delta proteobacterium. RNAcentral's name for it is "bacterial SSU rRNA". It matches the Rfam family "Bacterial small subunit ribosomal RNA", at positions 1 to 523 of the family's 1533-position model. Lineage: Bacteria; Deltaproteobacteria. The record is from RNAcentral.
GACUAGAGUUUGAUCCUGGCUCAGAACGAACGCUAGCGGCGUGCCUAACACAUGCAAGUCGCACGAGAAAUCCCGGGCAACUUGGGAGAGUAAAGUGGCGCACGGGUGAGUAGCACGUGGGUAAUCUACCCUGAAGUUGGGAAUAACACCUCGAAAGGGGUGCUAAUACCCAAUAACGUCCUCGAGACCCCGGUCUUGAGGAUCAAAGAUGGCUGAGGCUUGCAAGCUAUUGCUUUAGGAUGAGCCCCGCGCACCAUUAGCUAGUUGGUGGGGUAACGGCCCACCAAGGCUGUGAUGGUUAGCUGGUCUGAGAGGAUGGCCAGCCACACUGGAACUGAGAUACGGUCCAGACUCCUACGGGAGGCAGCAGUGAGGAAUCUUUGCGCAAUGGGGGCAACCCUGACGCAGCAACGCCGCGUGAGUGAUGAAGGCCUUCGGGUCGUAAAGCUCUGUCAGAUGGGAAGAAAGUUCCGGGCGUGAACAAUUCCCGGGAUUGACGGUACCGUCAAAGGAAGCACCGGCUAACUCCGUGCCAGCAGCCGCGGUAA